GAAAGAAAGGAAAUGUACAUUAAAAGUCCAAAACACCUUGGAACAGAGAACUAAGUGGGAUUUUAAUGUGCUAAAUGAGAAUUAAAACUAAAAAGUACCUUCUCCAGACAUGUAAACACAUUUAACUGAUGGUUGAUUUAGUCACAGUAGUAUGUACAGGGUCAGUCAGGGUCAGUAGUAUGAUAGGUGUUGUUUUACAGGGUCAGCCACAGUAGUACGAUAGGUGUUGUUUUACAGGGUCAGUCACAGUAGUACGAUAGGUGUUGUUUUACAGGGUCAGUCACAGUAGUACGAUAGGUGUUGUUUUACAGGGUCAGUCACAGUAGUACGAUAGGUGUUGUUUUACAGGGUCAGUCACAGUAGUACGAUAGGUGUUGUUUUACAGGGUCAGUCACAGUAGUACGAUAGGUGUUGUUUUACAGGGUCAGUCACAGUAGUACGAUAGGUGUUGUUUUACAGGGUCAGUCACAGUAGUACGAUAGGUGUUGUUUUACAGGGUCAGUCACAGUAGUACGAUAGGUGUUGUUUUACAGGGUCAGUCACAGUAGUACGAUAGGUGUUGUUUUACAGGGUCAGUCACAGUAGUACGAUAGGUGUUGUUUUACAGGGUCAGUCACAGUAGUACGAUAGGUGUUGUUUUACAGGGUCAGUCACAGUAGUACGAUAG
Molecule: long non-coding RNA, 667 nt
Organism: Oncorhynchus keta (chum salmon)
Lineage: Eukaryota; Metazoa; Chordata; Actinopteri; Salmoniformes; Salmonidae
Exons: 4
Source: RefSeq, a predicted model, not a curated record